UAGGAUUCCCUAAGUAGCGGCGAGCGAACAGGGAAGAGCCCAGCGCCGAAUCCCGCGUCCGGUCACGGGCGCCGGGAAAUGUGGCGUUAGGGAGGACGAUAUGUUUCGAGUUCGUGCGGCGAGUCCAAGUCCUUCUUGAACGAGGCCACCGCCCAUAGAGGGUGCCAGGCCCGUAGCGACCGCUGCCGGAUGCGAAACGAUCUCUCCUUAGAGUCGGGUUGCUUGAGAUUGCAGCCCUAAGUGGGUGGUAAACUCCAUCUAAGGCUAAAUAUGACCACGAGACCGAUAGCGAACAAGUACCGUGAGGGAAAGUUGAAAAGAACUUUGAAGAGAGAGUUCAAUAGUACGUGAAACCGUUCAGGGGUAAACCUGAGAAACCCGAAAGGUCGAACGGGGAGAUUCACCGCGGCUCGCGGUCGAGACUCGGCGCUCGUGCGACUGACGGCCCCCGGGUCGUCUGCGCCUUGCGCCCCGUUCCGUCGACUGUGAACGCGUGCACUUCUCCCCUAGUAGGACGUCGCGAUCCGUUGGGCGCCGGUCUAAGGACUGCGGAGGAGACCGGACGGAACGUUCUGCGUUCGCCGUCCGGACCCGCGGAUCCCCGGCCGGCUCGCUCGACGGUAGCCGUGAGGCGCUGGGCCGCGACUUCAGCUCGCGUCCGGCCCGCAGCAAGCGCGCCGUGCGAUCCGGCGAUCGGACUUCGUCCGUUUCCGGUCCUCGGUGGCUGUUCGCCGCGGUGUUCUCGGACAGACCCAGUUGAAACGCCGAUCUGCGACGACGAAGCUUUGGGUACUUUCAGGACCCGUCUUGAAACACGGACCAAGGAGUCUAGCAUGUGCGCGAGUCAUUGGGACACGACUAAACCUAAAGGCGCAAUGAAAGUAAAAGUCCGCCUCGCGCGGACCCAGGGAAGAUGGGCGUCGGUCUCGUGCCGCGCUCCGCAUUCCCGGGGCGUCUCGUUCUCAUCGCGAGAAGAGGCGUACCAAGAGCGUACACGCUGGGACCCGAAAGAUGGUGAACUAUGCCUGGUCAGGACGAAGUCAGGGGAAACCCUGAUGGAGGUCCGUAGCGAUUCUGACGUGCAAAUCGAUCGUCGGAACUGGGUAUAGGGGCGAAAGACUAAUCGAACCAUCUAGUAGCUGGUUCCCUCCGAAGUUUCCCUCAGGAUAGCUGGCGCUCGUCGUGUACGAGUCUCAUCCGGUAAAGCGAAUGAUUAGAGGCAUUGGGGCCGAAACGGCCUCAACCUAUUCUCAAACUUUAAAUGGGUGAGAUCUCCGGCUUGCUUGAACCGAUGAAGCCGCGAGAUACGGAUCAGAGUGCCAAGUGGGCCAUUUUUG
RNAcentral lists this ribosomal RNA (1337 nucleotides) under Collops sp. BT0080. RNAcentral describes it as "eukaryotic LSU rRNA". It matches the Rfam family "Eukaryotic large subunit ribosomal RNA", at positions 70 to 1139 of the family's 3401-position model. The record is from RNAcentral. Lineage: Eukaryota; Metazoa; Arthropoda; Insecta; Coleoptera; Melyridae.